GGUCAUUUAGAGNAAGUAAAAGUCGUAACAAGGUCUCCGUUGGUGAACCAGCGGAGGGAUCAUUACCGAGUUUACAACUCCCAAACCCCUGUGAACAUACCAAUUGUUGCCUCGGCGGAUCAGCCCGCUCCCGGUAAAACGGGACGGCCCGCCAGAGGACCCCUAAACUCUGUUUCUAUAUGUAACUUCUGAGUAAAACCAUAAAUAAAUCAAAACUUUCAACAACGGAUCUCUUGGUUCUGGCAUCGAUGAAGAACGCAGCAAAAUGCGAUAAGUAAUGUGAAUUGCAGAAUUCAGUGAAUCAUCGAAUCUUUGAACGCACAUUGCGCCCGCCAGUAUUCUGGCGGGCAUGCCUGUUCGAGCGUCAUUUCAACCCUCAAGCCCAGCUUGGUGUUGGGACUCGCGAGUCAAAUCGCGUUCCCCAAAUUGAUUGGCGGUCACGUCGAGCUUCCAUAGCGUAGUAGUAAAACCCUCGUUACUGGUAAUCGUCGCGGCCACGCCGUUAAACCCCAACUUCUGAAUGUUGACCUCGGAUCAGGUAGGAAUA
Molecule: ribosomal RNA, 547 nt
Filed under: Fusarium sp. JJP-2009a
Lineage: Eukaryota; Fungi; Ascomycota; Sordariomycetes; Hypocreales; Nectriaceae
Description: eukaryotic LSU rRNA
Rfam family: 5.8S ribosomal RNA (bases 214-367)
Source: RNAcentral